RNAcentral lists this ribosomal RNA (1424 nucleotides) under uncultured bacterium. RNAcentral describes it as "bacterial SSU rRNA". It matches the Rfam family "Bacterial small subunit ribosomal RNA". The record is from RNAcentral.
GAUGAACGCUGGCGGUGUGCCUAAGGCAUGCAAGUCGAACGGGUCCCCUUCGGGGGACAAGUGGCAGACGGGUGAGUAACGCGUAGGAAUCUACCCUUUAGUGGGGAAUAGCCUUUCGAAAGGAAGGGUAAUACCGCAUACGUCCGCAAGGAGAAAGUCCCCCUCGGGGGACGCUAAGGGAGGAGCCUGCGUCCUAUCAGGUAGUUGGUGGGGUAAUAGCCUACCAAGCCUAUGACGGGUAGCCGGUGUGAGAGCACGACCGGUCACAAGGUCACUGAGACACGGGGCCUACAUCUACGGAUGGCAGCAACCAGGAAUAUUGCGCAAUGGGCGAAAGCCUGACGCAGCGACACCGCGUGUGGGAUGACGCUCUUCGGAGUGUAAACCACUGUGGCGAGGGAAGAAGUACUGACUGUACCUCGCUAGAAAGCACCAGCUAACUACGUGCCAGAAGCUUCGGUAAUACGUAGGGUGCAAGCGUUAUCCGGAUUUACUGGGCGUAAAGGGUUCGUCGGCGUCCUAUUAAGUUUUUUGUUCAAGCCUGGGGCUCAACUCCAGACAAGCAAGGAAAACUAAUAGGAUUGAGUUAGUUCGGGGUAACUGGAGUUCUUGGUGGAGGGGUGAAAUCCGUAGAUAUCAAGAGGAACGCCAACCGCGAAGGCAAGUUACUAGGACUCAACUGACGCUCAUGAACGAAAGCUUGGGUAGCAAAAGGGAUUAGAGACCCCUGUAGUCCAAGCCGUAAACGAUCCUUGCUAGUUGUUCCUAUCCGCCUUUUGGCGAUGUGGGGGUGACGUAAGCUAACGCGUUAAGCAAGGCGCCUGGGGAGUACGAUCGCAAGAUUAAAACUCAAAGGAAUUGACGGGGGAGCGCACAACCGGUGGAGCAUGUGGUUUAAUUCGAAACAAAGCGAAAAACAUUACCUAGACUUGAAAUAUAGCUGCAAUCCCUAGAAAUAGGGCCUCUUUUGAAGGUGCUAUACAGGUGAUGCAUGGCUGUCGUCAGCUCGUGUCGUGAGACGUCCACUUAAGUGUGGUAACGAGCGCAACCCUUGUUCUGUGUUAUACGUGUCACAGAAGACUGCCCCGCCUUUGGUGGGGAGGAAGGAGAGGACGACGUCAAGUCAGCAUGUCCCUUAUGUCUAGGGCUACACACAUCCUACAAUGGAGCCGACAACGGGUAGCGACGCCGCAAGGCUGAGCCAAUCCUUAUAAACGGCCCCUCAGUUCGGAUUGCGGGCUGCAAUUCGCCCGCAUGAAGCCGGAAUCGGUAGUAAUCGCAAAUCAGCAGGUUGCGGUGAAUACGUUCUCGCUCCUUGUACACACUGCCCGUCAAGCCAGCAAAGUCAGCAGCGCCCGAAGCGGGUGAUCUCAACUAUGUUUACAUAGGGGGACCCUUCUACGGUGAGGUUGGCGAUGAGGACU